This 24-nucleotide non-coding RNA is filed under the name Gossypium hirsutum (cotton). Lineage: Eukaryota; Viridiplantae; Streptophyta; Magnoliopsida; Malvales; Malvaceae. The record is from RNAcentral.
AAAGGAUGACAUAGACAUUAUUGU